GCUGUAGACCCACAACUAGCCCCUCUUAUCACGUUACACACUUGUUAGAAUAAAAAUGUGACCGUCUUCAUUAUCUGUAAGUUUAAAAAAUAAAAUAAAAAACAGUUUCAGCGGCAGUAUUUCAACACACAAAAGUUUGGUUAGGAGACAACUUGCUCACUGGACGAAUUAGUGUCAGUCAUUAAGCUAAUUAGCGAUAACAGCUGGUCAGUCACCGACCUCUGCGACAGCUACAGUCACUACUACAGAAGAAGCAAGAACAUUUCUCUGGAUUUUGUAGCAUAAAAAAAUCAAGGGAGCUGAUUCCAACUGGCAGAGAUAGAGGAUACUUUAAAAAGUGGAUACAAAACAAACUGGACUCAGGUCACGAGGCAGCGUUGGGACUUUCGUGAAGCUCACCAACAGACCAUACCGGUGUGGGAGGAUAUUACCACUGGCGUUGCAAUGCUUCCGUAUCCGUACUCCUGCCUGCUUCUCCCAACUGGGGGCGUGCCAACCUCUAUCUUCCGUAGAUAAUCCACUGAC
Long non-coding RNA from Centropristis striata (black sea bass), 525 nucleotides. RefSeq lists it as uncharacterized. The transcript is spliced from 3 exons. NCBI's taxonomy places the organism in Eukaryota, Metazoa, Chordata, Actinopteri, Perciformes, Serranidae. The record is from RefSeq and is a predicted model, not a curated record.